AUUGAACGCUGGCGGAAGGCCUAACACAUGCAAGUCGAACGAGUGGCGGACGGGUGAGUAAUGUCUGGGAAACUGCCUGAUGGAGGGGGAUAACUACUGGAAACGGUAGCUAAUACCGCAUACCAUCGGAUGUGCCCAGAUGGGAUUAGCUAGUAGGUGGGGUAAAGGCUCACCUAGGCGACGAUCCCUAGCUGGUAUGAGAGGAUGACCGGGUGGGGGGGGUAAAGGGUCACCAAGUGGACUAUCCUGAGAUGGUCUGAGAGGAGGACCAGCGAAACUGGCGCCUACGGGAGUCAGCAGUGGGUAAUAUUGCACAAGGGGAUCAAGUCUGAUGCAGACAUGCCGCGUGUAUGAAGAAGGCCUUAGGGUUGUAAAGUACUUUCAGCGGGGAGGAAGGGAGGAAAGUUAAUACCUUGGCUCAUUGACGUUACCCGCAGAAGAGCACCGGCUAACUCCGUGCCAGCCGCCGCGGUAAUUC
Molecule: ribosomal RNA, 478 nt
Filed under: uncultured bacterium
Lineage: Bacteria
Description: partial 16S ribosomal RNA
Rfam family: Bacterial small subunit ribosomal RNA
Source: RNAcentral